Molecule: long non-coding RNA, 348 nt
Filed under: Sorghum bicolor (sorghum)
Lineage: Eukaryota; Viridiplantae; Streptophyta; Magnoliopsida; Poales; Poaceae
Description: long non-coding RNA (SBIC_LNC009504)
Source: RNAcentral
UUGUUUAAACAUGUGAACUUUGUGGAAUGUAGUUAUUGAACAUGUUGGAGUUAGUUUGGAUGUAUGUGACUUUAGUUUGGAGUAUUUGAACUUGUUACGAUGGACAAAGUGAUGGAAAUAAUCAUUUAUGUGGUAUAUAUUGUCAUCGAUGUCGAUUAUGUGAGCUAUAGGCUCCUGGAUGUGAAAUAUAUUAUUUUCUGGAAAUAUAUGUGUCAUAUGAUCUUCUCAGUAGAAAUUGGAUGAAAAAAUAGAAAAAAAAUAUUUUGGUCCAUUUGCCGAGAGCAUCUCUCGGCAAAGCUGAAAAAGUGGUCGAUUUGCCGAGAGGGACUCUCGGCAAAGCUGAAAAAU